RNAcentral lists this ribosomal RNA (440 nucleotides) under uncultured bacterium. Its description in RNAcentral is "partial 16S ribosomal RNA". It matches the Rfam family "Bacterial small subunit ribosomal RNA", at positions 338 to 795 of the family's 1533-position model. The record is from RNAcentral.
CCUACGGGAGGCAGCAGUGGGGAAUAUUGCACAAUGGGGGAAACCCUGAUGCAGCGACGCCGCGUGAGUGAGGACGUAUUUCGGUAUGUAAAGCUCUAUCAGCAGGGAAGAAAAUGACGGUACCUGCCUAAGAAGCCCCGGCUAACUACGUGCCAGCAGCCGCGGUAAUACGUAGGGGGCAAGCGUUAUCCGGAUUUACUGGGUGUAAAGGGAGCGUAGACGGCAAAUCAAGUGAGAAGUGAAAACCCUGGGCUCAACUUUGGGACUGCUUUUGAAACUGAGUAGCUAGAGUGCAGGAGAGGUAAGCGGAAUUCCUAGUGUAGCGGUGAAAUGCGUAGAUAUUAGGAGGAACACCAGUGGCGAAGGCGGCUUACUGGACUGUAACUGACGUUGAGGCUCGAAAGCGUGGGGAGCAAACAGGAUUAGAUACCCUUGUAGUC